UCUCACUAAGUUUCCCAGGCUGACCUCAAAACUUUCGACCCUCUGAGUUGCCUCCUGAGUAGCUGGGAUUAUAACCGUAACUGUGACACAGAGGCUCCCUCACUUUAAUCUUUUGCUUCCUUCCCUGAAGAGUUCUCAGACCUCAGGCACCUUGUCCCGCCUUCACCUGUCUUCCACUUACGCACUCUCCAUCCCUUCUGAAACCAAAGAUUGAAGAACACUGCGCCCACCAUUUCUCCAUCUCUGCCCAGGCCCUUAGGCUCCCCUUCCAGGCCACGCCCCAGACAAUUAGGCCACGCCCCUGACAAUGAGGCCACGCCCCUGGCAAUGAGGCCACGCCCCUGACCUAAGCACCUCCCCAAGGCCCCACUUCCUAAAGGUUCACAGCACUACUCAGACCACCUUGGAACCUUCAUACUGCAUACUUCAUUCCUUGGGGGACACGUGUCCAAACCACAGCAGGAGAGGAGUCAGGGCUGCAGAUUGUUCAUUUAGGGGUCACCGGCUGUCAUUGGGCUCAUGAGCCAGAAGUGCCUUCUGCGAUGGACAGACAGCUGCUCCUGCACCCUGACACUGCUGGCACUCCUGCAGCAGGCGGCGCACUGCCAGCCCUUCCACAGUAAGCAGCCUCAGCACAUGGGAAUCCCUGCGCCUUGGGAGAGAUUUACCACCUGCAAGCCUUCGGUCCCCGUCCUGGGGCCUGAGUCCCACACAUUUGUCUUCCUGUGAAAUAACAGUUUAAUAUCAUAGCAACUGUUGUGGGGUUUUGGGGAGAGGGGUGCUCAAUGCAUUUAUCCCAGUGUUUUGCACUUUUUUUUUUUGAAACAGAGCGUCAGGUUGGCCUGGACUCAUUGUGUAGCCCAAGCUGGCCUCAGACUUGAAGUGAUUCUCCUGCCUCAGCCUCCAGAGUGCUAGGGUUACAGGCAUGUGCCACCACAUCCAGCUUGGGCUUUUAUGUCAAUGUAUUAUCCUCAUUUAGUCUUUGAAAUUAACUAUUGCUCUCUUCCCUGCCCUGCCCUGACAAAGACAGGAAAUUCUCAAUUUACAACUGAUUGUGCUCCUAAAAUUCUCCGGCGAGGCUGUUGUUUGGAUGAGGGAACUGCUUUCCCACAUAAACAAAGUUAUAAAUGGCUCGGCUCAGCGAGCCCUCCAGCCUGGCUGACCUAUCUGCGCACUCAGCGACACACGCGUGUGACAGUGAAGACCUGGAAUGCAGUUGGGCUUGGCUGGCCUUGAAUUGAUGACCAUCCUCCUGUCUCAGCCUCUCAAGAGCUGGGAUUUACAGGCUUGUGCCACCACUCCUGGCUCUAAAUCAGGCACAGUGAUCCAAAAUAUUUCCAAAAGGCUGCAGUCUGGGGUGAGGUUGCACAAAGACUCAAGAGGACUCUGCCCGCAGGCUCUGCUAUUUUCUUCUUGGGGUAGGAAGCCAGCUAUUGGACUCUCUGAGGGUCCCCACUGGAAAGCAGAAAUACCAAGGUCUUUCUGGGGUGGGGAGGAUUUAAAGGGACUUUGUGUGUCAAGCAUUGGGUGCAGCCUCUGGAACAAAAUAGGUGCUCAGUAAACGGUGACUGGAAUUGUUAAAAAAUAGUACAAGUUCCACAAGGUCCCAGCCUGCAGAGAAAAGAAGAAAAAAGGCACUGUCACUUCGGCUCGCACCCCUCUCUUCUUUCUCCCUCCACUGCCCCCUUUCACUCUGCAGAGCUGCCUGCACUCAAUCCAGACUAUCACAGAGCUCUGUCCCAGGUCUCACCUGAGGUUCAAAUCCUGCUGUGUGGUGCUGAGAAAAUCGCACACCAUCUCUGAACCUGAGGUCCUCAUUCUAACCAGGAAAGGAAGGCUGACACCUUUCAUUUAUUCAGGGAGUAUCUACUAGGGCUGGCUCUGGGUGGGAAGCUGGGCUGCUGUGGUCCUCACCCUCCAGCAUCCCAUGUAUGUAUAUAACACCCUCCUCAAAUCCAGAACACAAAGAUGGUCCUUCUCUUGUGUGUCAACUGCAGAACCCUUUGUUCAAAUGAAAUCUUAAAAAAAAAAAAGAAGGCUGGUCCGAUGGCAGUGGGUUAUCAGAACUUAUUAACAUUAGUGUCACUAAAGUUGGUAUACCACCUCCCACCACUGCUAAAUUUGACUGGCUUUAAAAAAAAAAAAAAAAAGUGAGAGUUGGGCGUGGUAGCUCAUGCCUCUAAUCCCAGCACUCGGGAGGUCGAGGCAGGAGGAUUGUUG
Molecule: long non-coding RNA, 2220 nt
Organism: Cavia porcellus (domestic guinea pig)
Lineage: Eukaryota; Metazoa; Chordata; Mammalia; Rodentia; Caviidae
Exons: 3
Source: RefSeq, a predicted model, not a curated record